RNAcentral lists this ribosomal RNA (775 nucleotides) under uncultured Neocallimastigales. Its description in RNAcentral is "partial large subunit ribosomal RNA". It matches the Rfam family "Eukaryotic large subunit ribosomal RNA", at positions 23 to 616 of the family's 3401-position model. Lineage: Eukaryota; Fungi; Neocallimastigomycota; Neocallimastigomycetes; Neocallimastigales. The record is from RNAcentral.
AGAGAGAGACAUGCGCGCAUAUCAAUAAGCGGAGGAAAAGAAACUAACAAGGAUUCCCCUCGUAACGGCGAGUGAAGCGGGAAGAGCUCAAAUUUGAAAUCUUAAAGGGUUUCCCUUUACGAAUUGUAGUUUAAAGAAGUGUUUUCUGUUGAGGUUUUGGUAAAAGUUCUUUGGAAUAGGACAUCAUAGAGGGUGAGAAUCCCGUAUUUGACCUUUACUUUCCAACUUUGUGAUACACUUUCAAAGAGUCGGAUUGUUUGGGAAUGCAGUCCAAAAUGGGUGGUAAAUUUCAUCUAAAGCUAAAUAUUGGCGAGAGACCGAUAGCGAACAAGUACCGUGAGGGAAAGAUGAAAAGAACUUUGAAAAGAGAGUUAAACAGUACGUGAAAUUGUCAAAAGGGAAGCGUUUGACACCAGUGUUGUUUUUCUGAAAAUCAAUUAAAGAACUGUUUAUGCUAAGUUGUUUAGACUUUAUCAGCUAACUGUUUAGUUUUGAGCUUUUCUUUAAUGCACUUUUCAGUUAACAAGUCAACAUCAAUUUCUUUUGCUGUAGAAAAGCUUGAGGAAGGUGGCUUGAGAUUCGUCUUAAGUGUUUAUAGCCUCUUGCCUAUGCAGUCGGAGAGAUUGAGGUCUGCAGCGUAGAUCCUUCGGGGCUAAAUGCAUUUGUGCUAAGUUAUAGCAUUUUAUAGACAACUUGUUGACUAUGAUUUGUCUUGUAGCUUACUCGCUUAUGUUAUUUUACCUACGCUUAGGAUGUUGAGCGCAUGUCUCUCUCU